UUUAAAUUGAGAGUUUGAUCCUGGCUCAGGACGAACGCUGGCGGCGUGCUUAACACAUGCAAGUCGAGCGAUGAAAUCCCUUCGGGGGUGGAUUAGCGGCGGACGGGUGAGUAACACGUGGGCAACCUGCCUCAAAGUGGGGGAUAGCCUCCCGAAAGGGAGAUUAAUACCGCAUAAUAUUAGUUUUUCACAUGAAAGAUUAAUUAAAGGAGUAAUCCGCUUUGAGAUGGGCCCGCGGCGCAUUAGCUAGUUGGUGAGGUAACGGCUCACCAAGGCCACGAUGCGUAGCCGACCUGAGAGGGUGAUCGGCCACAUUGGAACU
RNAcentral lists this ribosomal RNA (322 nucleotides) under Clostridium muellerianum. Its description in RNAcentral is "bacterial SSU rRNA". It matches the Rfam family "Bacterial small subunit ribosomal RNA", at positions 1 to 320 of the family's 1533-position model. Lineage: Bacteria; Bacillati; Bacillota; Clostridia; Eubacteriales; Clostridiaceae. The record is from RNAcentral.